Austrofundulus limnaeus is the source of this 657-nucleotide long non-coding RNA. RefSeq lists it as uncharacterized. NCBI's taxonomy places the organism in Eukaryota, Metazoa, Chordata, Actinopteri, Cyprinodontiformes, Rivulidae. The record is from RefSeq and is a predicted model, not a curated record. The transcript has 3 exons.
ACGGCGAAAAUAAUACCCCCACGAGAAGUGAGAACAUCGUGUGACAAAAGCUCAACGCGGGAAACGUCUUCAUCGUGGAGGAGAACAAAACUGCGGAGGUUACAAAKGCAAAGAUCACACGCAAAACUUUGAAAGAUUGUGUUCACGCUCUGAACUUCAACUGUUGAUUUUUUUUUUUUUUUUUACAUGAAGAUCAGUAACAUCAGAGCAUAGACGCGGAAGACACAGUCCUACACAAAUCACCUUUUGUGCUGUCUGAAACAGACCUCAACUUAUAGGCCAGUUGUUCACCACACAGGAAGUUGUUUUAGGUUGCUGCAGUGGGCUCAGUUCAGCUCCGGCAGACACAACUGAAGCCACCCRAGUGAUUCUGAAUGAGCCUGAGAACAGAGAAAAAUCUGAAAAAUAUUUAUUUCAGCCAACAAAUACAACCCAAAGAGAAGAAGACCAAAAAAGUCCACUUCUAGGAAAACAAGAACAGGUCAGAAAUGUGGUAACUUUGCCAACAUGAUGGAGCCUGAGUACGAUGUGGUGGAUGACCAUGAGGUAGUGCACAGUGUGCGCAUCCUUCCUGCCAGGCCCAUAAACGAGGACAGAGAGUAUGCAGACAGGAAUCCUCCGUGGUCAUCCUGCAACCAGRGUGUUUCAGCAGUCGCC